GAGGGGUGAUGAGAGUCGAGCUAACAUUGGUUGAAAAUCUACAACUGUCAACUUACCUGAUUGUUAGACCAGUCCUUAGGGAGUUGCAUUUUCAGCUGCGGAAAAGGAGCCUCAGAGGGAUUAAGUAGUGUGCCCAGCUUCACACAGUUGGGAAGUGGUUACAAAAUUCUUUUGAUCGCAUGCAGUAUCCUCUGGCCUUCAGUCACACUGGCUGCAGUAGGACAUGCAUCGACAGGCUUGGUCAGUCCCACCAGUGAGGAGUCCACCGCAUUCAGUCCAGUCUUCUUCAGAGCCAUGUGGACUUGGGCACUUACCCAUCCUUGCCUAGAGGGAUAAACUUACAAACUCUUUGCAAGUUUCCAUGAGGUCCCUCGUCAGAGUCAGACAAGAGCCAAACCCUGUUCUCCAAGCAUGGCAUGAUGGGAGGGGAGAAAACAGGUUCUCCCAGAUUUGGAUCUCCUGUUGAGGACCACAGAGGAUUUCAUGGUGGCCUCAUCACCCUGUUGCUGGUGUGAAGGUGUGUGUGUGCGUGCAUGUGUGAUGAACAAAGGAGGAGCACGUGACCUCAGUCAAUCCAAUGGGAGUCGGUUUUGGAACGUAAGCCAUAAAGACUGGGAAAGUGGCUCUCCCUUGGUUGCCAUCCUUGCUGCAGCAUGGACAUGGUCAUGGUCAGCUAAGAAGGAAGCCCACACAGAAGGAAACAGUCAAGGGAAGGAGAGAAAAUCCGAUGCCAUCAUCAAGUCCCUCAUCUGGCUAUACCAAAGCCAAAUAAACAUCCCAAACCUCCCAAUUAU
Molecule: long non-coding RNA, 794 nt
Organism: Bos taurus (domestic cattle)
Lineage: Eukaryota; Metazoa; Chordata; Mammalia; Artiodactyla; Bovidae
Source: Ensembl